AUUGAACGCUGGCGGCAGGCCUAACACAUGCAAGUCGAGCGGAUGAAGGGAGCUUGCUCCUGGAUUCAGCUGCCGACGGGUGAGUAAUGCCUAGGAAUCUGCCUGGUAGUGGGGGAUAACGUCCGGUAACGGGCGCUAAUACCGCAUACGUCCUGAGGUAGAAAGUGGGGGAUCUUCGGACCUCACGCUAUCAGAUGAGCCUAGGCCGGAUUAGCUAGUUGGUGGGGUAAAGGCCUACCAAGGCGACGAUCCGUAACUGGUCUGAGAGGAUGAUCAGUCACACUGGAACUGAGACACGGUCCAGACUCCUACGGGAGGCAGCAGUGGGGAAUAUUGGACAAUGGGCGAAAGCCUGAUCCAGCCAUGCCGCGUGUGUGAAGAAGGUCUUCGGAUUGUAAAGCACUUUAAGUUGGGAGGAAGGGCAGUAAGUUAAUACCUUGCUGUUUUGACGGUACCAACAGAGUAAGCAACGGCUAACUUCGUG
This 484-nucleotide ribosomal RNA is filed under the name uncultured bacterium. RNAcentral describes it as "partial 16S ribosomal RNA". It matches the Rfam family "Bacterial small subunit ribosomal RNA", at positions 30 to 507 of the family's 1533-position model. The record is from RNAcentral.